Molecule: long non-coding RNA, 1288 nt
Filed under: Sorghum bicolor (sorghum)
Lineage: Eukaryota; Viridiplantae; Streptophyta; Magnoliopsida; Poales; Poaceae
Description: long non-coding RNA (SBIC_LNC016462)
Source: RNAcentral
UAUCGAAUGUCUAAAAUUUAUCACGAAUUAUAAGCUAAGGUAGCUUAUGUUGUUCAACUCUAUCUACACAUAUUUGCCUUUUUAACUCCAUCUAUGCAUGCUUUUUAAACACCAUCUUGCUCCAAAUAACUUAUGCAAUUAAUAUCUGAAAUCAAUGACAUGCACGUAUACAUUCUUAAACAAUGUAUUACUAAUAAAUUUAACAAUUUAACAACAUAUUGACUAAUUAGCGAGGAGCAUAUUAUGCUAGUCUUUUGUUAGACUCUUUAUCUAGAGUCCGUUUGAUACAAGAGCUAGUUUCUAGCUAGCCAAAAAAAAUCCUAGUUCCUAUUUUUUAGCCAAAUCUUCAACUAGCUAUAGGUCAAUCUCAAUGUAUGUUUCAUGAGAGUGUCAUGCACAUUAAAUAAGGUGUCACAUAAGCAAAAUUGCUGACUUGGUAGGGUCAUUAAAUGAAGAAGUUUCAUUAGAUAAGAGCACUAGUACAGGGAAGGGCUUUAGCCCCGGGCCGUAAGCGCCUUUAGGCCCGGCUACGGAACCGGGGCUAAGGUUUCGGGACUAAAUGUCCCACCUUUUGUAACACCAAAAAAUUUUGUUUCUUUUAAAUAGAUGAAAUGAAUUUAAAUGAAUUUAUUUUGUGAGCAUUUUCACUAUAGGAAAAUAAAUAAAUUUGGAGAAAUUAAAAUUUGUUAUAAACUUAGAGAAAUGUUUAUGUUGCAUUCAUGCCGGAGCAUUUCUUUUGUGAUGAUUGAUUGGAAAACAAAGUGAUUCUUUUAUUUUCUUUUUCCUGCUCAAAAUCUCAAUUGGAAAAAAUUUGGUUUUUAAAAAAAAGGAAAAAAAAAGGAACUUUUUUUUCCCCUUCCUUUUUUGGGUUGGGAGGCCAAGAAACCCCCCCCCCCCCCCCCCCGCGCGCCCCAUCUCCUUCUUGGGCCGGCCCAGCCGCCUCCCCCUCCCUUCCCCCUCUCUCUCUCACCCGCUGACAGGCCGGGCCCGCCUGUCAGCUCUCUCUUCCCCAAACCGCCGCCCGCUUCUUCCUCUCUCUCGGUUGGAAACCGCCAGGCCGCGCCCACCCCGCUCCCCCCACGUUCCCUCCCCGCGCCUCGGCUUUAAGUUGGAGAAAACCCCGCGCGCCCGAGCUUUCUCCCCCUCCCCAUUUUCUUCUCUCCCUGCCUCUGCUCCUCCCUUCUCGCGCAGAAAACCGUUGCCGGAGAAACAAGCGCCGCCGCGCGUCGUUCCUCCAUUUGGAGCCCUUUUCGCCGCGUUUCGUCGCAUUGGUGAGCCUCCUCUUCCC